GACGAAGGUGGCGAGCGUUACUCGGAAUUACUAGGCGUAAAGCGUGGGUAGGCGGUCCGGCAAGUCUGUUGUGAAAGCUCCCGGCUCAACUGGGAGGGUGCGCCGAAAACUGCAAGGCUGGAGUGUGGGAGAGGUAGGCGGAAUUCCUGGUGUAGCGGUGAAAUGCGUAGAUAUCGGGAGGAACACCAGUGGCGAAAGCAGCUCUCUGGGACGGUACUGACGCUGAGACGCGAAAGCGUGGGGAGCGAACGGG
This 253-nucleotide ribosomal RNA is filed under the name uncultured bacterium. Its description in RNAcentral is "partial 16S ribosomal RNA". It matches the Rfam family "Bacterial small subunit ribosomal RNA", at positions 524 to 776 of the family's 1533-position model. The record is from RNAcentral.